AUGAAGCCGUUACUUGUAUUCCUUCUCCUGCUAGCCGCCCCCUCGUGGGUCCUGUCACAAGUGCAGCUGGUGGAGUCAGGUCCCGGGACUGUAAAACCCUCAGCGACUCUCAGCCUCACCUGCUCCAUCUCAGGCGCCUCCUCGGACACCCUGGGCAGUAGUUGCUGCUGGUGGAGCUGGAUCCGGCAGAGUCCCGGGAAAGGGCUGGAAUGGAUCGGGGAUAUAGCUCAAGGGGGAAGCACAAACUACGCCGCUUCCCUCCAGAGUCGCACCACCAUCUCGGUGAACCCUUCCAAGAACCAGUUCUCCCUGGAGCUGCGCUCGCUGACAGCUGCAGACAGCGGCACCUAUUACUGCGCUAGAUACACAGUGACACAGAGCAGAGCGGGACUGGCACAAAAAGGGGAAGCGGAUUUCUAA
This is a non-coding RNA of Mauremys mutica (yellowpond turtle), 420 nucleotides long. The record is from the annotation of a RefSeq genome assembly. Lineage: Eukaryota; Metazoa; Chordata; Testudines; Geoemydidae.